This is a long non-coding RNA of Daphnia magna, 300 nucleotides long. RefSeq lists it as uncharacterized. The record is from RefSeq and is a predicted model, not a curated record. The transcript has 2 exons. Lineage: Eukaryota; Metazoa; Arthropoda; Branchiopoda; Diplostraca; Daphniidae.
AAAUAAAUACCAGCUACCAGUACUUCCAUAUAUAAACACACCCACAAUAUUCGCCAUCCAAAAGUGUUAAUAAAAUUUGAAUGUUAAUGCUGAUUAAUCAAACAUAUUGUUAAUACCACGUGCCAAUGUUAUCUUUGAUUAAGGUCAACUCUAUUCACUGAAUAACUUGAAAAAAAAACAAGACGUUGACUACGUCAGCGACUUCCAGAGACAGUUCAUCCGGCUGAGUGGCAACGUAAGGAUGAAUGGCCUGAAAACGCAAACAGAACUCGUUAAAAUAACAACAAUUUCACGCGAGCG